GAUGAACGCUGGCGGCGUGCCUAAUACAUGCAAGUCGAGCGAACAGACGAGGAGCUUGCUCCUCUGACGUUAGCGGCGGACGGGUGAGUAACACGUGGAUAACCUACCUAUAAGACUGGGAUAAAUUCGGGAAACCGGAGCUAAUACCGGAUAAUACAUUGAACCGCAUGGUUCAAUAGUGAAAGACGGUUUUGCUGUCACUUAUAGAUGGAUCCGCGCCGCAUUAGCUAGUUGGUAAGGUAACGGCUUACCAAGGCAACGAUGCGUAGCCGACCUGAGAGGGUGAUCGGACACACUGGAACUGAGACACGGUCCAGACUCCUACGGGAGGCAGCAGUAGGGAAUCUUCCGCAAUGGGCGAAAGCCUGACGGAGCAACGCCGCGUGAGUGAUGAAGGUCUUCGGAUCGUAAAACUCUGUUAUUAGGGAAGAACAAAUGUGUAAGUAACUAUGCACGUCUUGUCGGUACCUAAUCAGAAAGCCACGGCUAACUACGUG
RNAcentral lists this ribosomal RNA (497 nucleotides) under uncultured bacterium. RNAcentral describes it as "partial 16S ribosomal RNA". It matches the Rfam family "Bacterial small subunit ribosomal RNA", at positions 28 to 507 of the family's 1533-position model. The record is from RNAcentral.